UAGGGAAUCUUCCGCAAUGGGCGAAAGCUUGACGGAGCAACGCCGCGUGAGUGAUGAAGGUCUUCGGAUCGUAAAACUCUGUUAUUAGGGAAGAACAAAUGUGUAAGUAACUAUGCACGUCUUGACGGUACCUAAUCAGAAAGCCACGGCUAACUACGUGCCAGCAGCCGCGGUAAUACGUAGGUGGCAAGCGUUGUCCGGAUUUAUUGGGCGUAAAGCGAGCGCAGGCGGUCAAUUAAGUCUGAUGUGAAAGCCCCCGGCUCAACCGGGGAGGGUCAUUGGAAACUGGUUGACUUGAGUGCAGAAGAGGAGAGUGGAAUUCCAUGUGUAGCGGUGAAAUGCGUAGAUAUAUGGAGGAACACCAGUGGCGAAGGCGACUCUCUGGUCUGUAACUGACGCUGAGGCUCGAAAGCGUGGGGAGCGAACAGG
RNAcentral lists this ribosomal RNA (429 nucleotides) under Bacteroidota bacterium. RNAcentral describes it as "Bacteroidetes bacterium partial 16S ribosomal RNA". It matches the Rfam family "Bacterial small subunit ribosomal RNA", at positions 355 to 776 of the family's 1533-position model. Lineage: Bacteria; Pseudomonadati; Bacteroidota. The record is from RNAcentral.